CAUUACAGAGUUCCUGCCCUCACGGGUAGAAACCCCACCCUUGUGUAUAUUAUAUUGUUGCUUUAGCAGGUCGCCCUCUGGGGCGUCGGCCUCGGCUGACUGUGCCUGCUAGAGGACCCUAAACUUUGAAAUACAGUGUCGUCUGAGUACUAUUUAAUAGUUAAAACUUUCAACAACGGAUCUCUUGGUUCUGGCAUCGAUGAAGAACGCAGCGAAAUGCGAUAAGUAAUGUGAAUUGCAGAAUUCAGUGAAUCAUCGAAUCUUUGAACGCACAUUGCGCCCCUUGGUAUUCCGGGGGGCAUGCCUGUUCGAGCGUCAUUUAGACCAACUCCCGCUCCGGCGGGGUCUUGGGCUGCGCCUUUGGGCGGGCCUUAAAACCAGUGGCGGUGCCCUAAGGCUCUACGCGUAGUAAUUCUUCUCGCGAUAGGGUCCUUGCGGUGUCCUGCCAGCAACCCCCAACUCUCUAGGGUUGACCUCGGAUC
RNAcentral lists this ribosomal RNA (482 nucleotides) under Hymenoscyphus fraxineus. RNAcentral's name for it is "eukaryotic LSU rRNA". The stretch from base 165 to 318 matches the Rfam family "5.8S ribosomal RNA". The record is from RNAcentral. Lineage: Eukaryota; Fungi; Ascomycota; Leotiomycetes; Helotiales; Helotiaceae.